UAGCUUUCUUCUUCCUUCUAGUUCAGUCCUUUGGCUAAUAGGAAAGGCCACGCAAAAGCUAUGGACCUGCUUCUCUGUGCUUGAUCAAAGUGCAUAGAUAGAAGACAGGGCUUCCCGGCUGGGAGGAGGGAGGAGAGCUGAAGAAUCCUGCCCGGGCUGGCUGAUCUAAGCAGUCAAAGUGGGCAGCUGAGUGCUUGAAAGAGGAUUAUACUCGCACUAGAAAUAAGCAGUAAGUGAGUGAAUAUAUGGCUUAGAAAAGGAUUAAUCCCCCUCGGGUUAUGGGGUAAACUAGAAAAUAUGGCUUAAUUCUAGAGUAAAACUGUAAGACUUUCUUCUCUUUGUACUGUGUGUGCCGUUUGGAGAGUCGGGACUUAAAGUACAAAAUCAGAACUGUAAUGCCUCCUCCCACUCUUAGGAAGGGCCAAGUUCUACUUGGAAGAGUUGGGGAUAUAAGCUCCUUCUCUGACCCAGCCUCUUCCCAGGAAAAUUUACUACUAAAUCAGAUAAGGAGGUGGUAUUAAAUUGGAGAGGUGGAAUUUGAUAUUGGCAGAAAUUGCAAUUUUGAAUAAUGUCUUGUGAGUGCUGACGUUAUUAUAUCCAUUAGCAGCGUUUGUCAAGAAAGUCUGGGGCAGGGGAUUAAAAAGAGAAAAUUGAAAGCUUUUAUGAUAAGGAGGCUGAGCAGUCCGUAUGCAAAGGAUUAAAUACAGAAAUUGUAUAAUAAACAAUAAGUGAUCUUGGAAAAAACAUGAAAUGGGAACAGGAGUCAGAGAGCAUAAAGAUACAUAGAUUGAAAAUUAGUUAGGAAAAGAAAUUCUCAUUUCAAUGGUUUUCUUGUGCUAGCCAAAAAUUUCACAAUGUUUACAAAGACAAUGAUUCAGGAAUACAUCAAUUAUUGUUGUACAUUAUUAAUACUGUUGCUGGGCAAGAUCUGUGGUUCUCUGGUCAGCAAGUUCUGGCUAUGAAGCCACCGCCGCUGGUGCAAGGAAUUCUGGGAUGUCUGACAGUGAAAUGGAUGGAAGGACUCACAUUCCAUCUCUACUUAAUGUCCUUUUGUCCAGAAAUCGGGUCAUGCAAAUGAGCUACUUGGUACGUAUACAGAUCAAUAUUUGGAAAGGCGUUUAGAAAUGUUUUGCUUUAGAGGGUCUCUGGACAAUAUCUUAUGGCAACCAAUGGACUGAAAGGAUAUAAAAACAAAGUGACAGGAAGGAAGUCAGCUUGACUGAAACCAACCUUGCUCUUUUUGUUUUCCAUCAAUCCUGAAAUGGAACCUCAAAUGAGGACAAGAGUCAAAAUAGAGAGAAAUAUUGUGGCCAUCUGUUCUGUUCUAAGUGGCUGAGUUCAUUAAUGUAUGAAUGAGAAUUUGAAUUUUAUUUGUGCAUUCUGAUACUUGAAGAUUCAGAAUUAUCUUAUUACAGUGAUAAACACAGAAAUAAGAGGUAUGUUUAUGGGGGGAGUAAAUAUGUAAAAUCUGGUUUUUGAAAUGCUAUAAAAGAAAAAUAAACAGAUAAGAAUUGUGUCCCACAGUGUAAAGAUUAAUAUCAUGGUCACUGAAGGAUAUAUUUCUUACCCUAAUGAGAUAGAUGGGAUCCUAAUAUGACACAGUAGGUUGAAGUAUACAAAAUAUUUUUAAUUAUCUCAAUUCUAGUUGAUGUAGUUACUAUUUAAAGCAAGGUUGCCAAAAACAUGAACUAUAAUUAAGUGUGUAGUGAUUUUUAUGAUCCAUUUGUUACUGGUAUGAAGAAGAAAGAUGGCAGUGGUUGUAUUCCCAUCAGCUGCUGCACUGGGGGAAAGAAAGAAUUCAAACACACCGUCAUUCUCCUGAAGUGUGCAAUUGCAAAUUGAUUGUCACAAUCUAGGUUCUUUUCCAACUUUAGAACUUAUAAUUAUAGAUUUUGCUAUGGGGGAGUUGGAUGGGAGUGGUGAUUGGGACCAAUAAUAAGAACAAGAAAAAUAACAAAAUGCCAAUAACAUGCAUUUUUUAGAUGUACUUACUCUGAACUCUUCCAACUUUUGAGCUACCUAGUUUUGAAAUUUAUUUUAUCUUUGAAAAAUUACUUGAGUUGUUUUUUCCAAUGUCAGCAUCCAUCUGAUUCAUAGACAAUAUUGAAAAUCUGAAGAUUUAUUAUCUGAUUUGUGUAAUACUUUUUUUGUUCUUAAACACAUUUAAGACAUUAAAAUAAAACAUUUAAUAGUUGAAGCCUUAAGCAUAGUAUAAUUACAAGUGAAGUUUCAAUCUUUAAGAAAAAAUGUGCUAGGAUUCUUCAAGGAAUUGCUUAUUUAUCUCAAAGUGUUGAAAUAAUUUUUUCUGACUACAAAAUACAAGGGAAGCAUAAGAAUAUUGAGAAAAUGAUUAAAGGCAUAAUUUGAAUGGGGAAGGUUAAGCAAAAAUAAUAAUGAUAAGCCAGCAGUUUAUAAACACUUGCUGUUGUAAUGAGAGAUGGACAGAGGAUGAUGCAUAUGACUAGUAAUGAGGAUAAGUAAAGACUUUUAUCUUUAAAAAAUAUUAUGUGAGAAUUAAGAUUAUUAAUGGAAAGAAACUAAAUGAUCAUUUAAAAUUAUUCUUUCACAAGAA
Molecule: long non-coding RNA, 2572 nt
Filed under: Marmota monax (woodchuck)
Lineage: Eukaryota; Metazoa; Chordata; Mammalia; Rodentia; Sciuridae
Source: RNAcentral